AUUGAACGCUGGCGGCAUGCCUUACACAUGCAAGUCGAACGGCAGCGGGGGAGAAGCUUGCUUUUCCUGCCGGCGAGUGGCGAACGGGUGAGUAAUACAUCGGAACGUGCCCUGUAGUGGGGGAUAACUAGUCGAAAGAUUAGCUAAUACCACAUACGACCUGAGGGUGAAAGUGGGGGACCGCAAGGCCUCAUGCUAUAGGAGCGGCCGAUGUCUGAUUAGCUAGUUGGUGGGGUAAAGGCCUACCAAGGCGACGAUCAGUAGCUGGUCUGAGAGGACGAUCAGCCACACUGGGACUGAGACACGGCCCAGACUCCUACGGGAGGCAGCAGUGGGGAAUUUUGGACAAUGGGCGAAAGCCUGAUCCAGCAAUGCCGCGUGUGUGAAGAAGGCCUUCGGGUUGUAAAGCACUUUUGUCCGGAAAGAAAUGGCUCUGGUUAAUACCUGGGGUCGAUGACGGUACCGGAAGAAUAAGGACCGGCUAACUACGUGCCAGCAGCCGCCGCAG
Molecule: ribosomal RNA, 508 nt
Filed under: uncultured bacterium
Lineage: Bacteria
Description: partial 16S ribosomal RNA
Rfam family: Bacterial small subunit ribosomal RNA
Source: RNAcentral